RNAcentral lists this ribosomal RNA (249 nucleotides) under uncultured bacterium. RNAcentral describes it as "partial 16S ribosomal RNA". It matches the Rfam family "Bacterial small subunit ribosomal RNA", at positions 523 to 769 of the family's 1533-position model. The record is from RNAcentral.
AUACGGAGGAUGCGAAGCGUUAUCCGGAUUCAUUGGGUUUAAAGGGUGCGUAGGCGGCUUUUUUAAGUCAGUGGUGAAAUCCUGCCGCUUAACGGUAGAAUUGCCAUUGAUACUGAAGAGCUUGAGUACAAUUGAGGUAAGCGGAAUGUGUAGUGUAGCAGUGAAAUGCUUAGAUAUUACACAGAACACCGAUUGCGAAGGCAGCUUACUAAACUGUUACUGACGCUGAUGCACGAAAGCGUGGGGAGC